CUCCCUCCCCUCCCUCCCCCUCCCUCCCCCUCCCCUCCCUCCCAUUACCUCCCCACAGGCUACCCUGUAUCUCUCCUUACUCCCUAUCGUCCCCCUUCCCCCCAACUUCUCUGCAAACCGAGGGAGCAGGAGUAAUGCAGCCGAGCGUGGCCUUUCUGCAGCGAGUCCCACAGACCAGAGAACCUUCCAGAAGAGGUCACGGUGCUCUGCGGCCUAAAGAUGCAGGAGGCCAGAUUGCUCAUUUCCUUCGUUCAAGAGCUCCACUGGGGCCGGUGUGUCUGUCCUCUGCCCCUGGACCGUAACUGGGAGUCGGAUAAGAGCCUCCGCUCCCGUAAUCCCCAGGGAGUCCUCCACGAUGAAGCUCCUGCCGCCGUCCCCGGCCCUGCCCGGGGCACCCUGGCUGCAGUGUGACCACCCAUAGCCAACGUGUGGAAGGAAGUGAGCUUUCCCUUCCCAAACAGUCUCCGGGGGCAUCACUAUCAGCUGACUGGUUCACACCUUGGACAUUGCAAAGUAAAGCACUUGACACCAUCACAAAUUCGCGUGGUUAUGCGCAGGGACCACUCUCCAGGGAGGCAAAAAAAUAGCCCUGGGCUGGGACAGGACGCUGUCCCCCCCCGUGGGAAGCCGUGGUCUAUCUGGGCAUCCAUCUGUCUUCUCCUCCGUGGAGAGAGCGCUGGGCACAGUGACCUCCGAGGUCCAGCCAGCUUGAAACCCGUCACUUGACAACUAGGGGAGAGUUUAAAUGAGUAUGUACUUUUCUCCACCCUCGCCGCAGUUCUUCUUAGUUAGCUUACAAAAUGAGGAAAUCAAACCAAACCUGGACACAAAAUCCCACCCCGGGGUCAAGAUAUUUGUAGAGUGUGUAUCGGCUCCAGCCCUCGACCUUGGCCACCAGUGUCUGUGCUUCCCUCUCCUGAGCAAAUGGUCCUGAUACUCACGAGGGACACAGCUGUUUCCUGCCCACCUUCCACCAGAGUUCUGCAACCUCCGUGCCUGCUGCGUUAACACCUCUCUGGGGGAUGACGGACGGGACAUUGCGGGGAUCGGAGCAAAGGGUUCAGCCCAGCUGUGGAAGGAUGUGCCCUCUCCCCGUCAGCUCCGUCUGGAAUUAACCUCCCGGAGUCAGACUGUUGGGUGCAAAAGAGAAAUGAAACAAUGUAGUCCUUGGAAACUGGACGCCAUGUACCUCCAAGGGUGCGAGAUUCCAGAGGGCAUACGGGCACUGGCUUAGUUGUAUGUUAUCUAGUACAACACGCUGCAUAAUUAGCAACAAAAUAAUCCAAUUUAGCAAAUCUAUGUACCGAGCACGCUGCUAGCUGCCAGGGCUUCAAAUAUAACUAGGUCUCUGGCUUAUUGAUACACUUUCUGGUGGUUUUGACGGUUGUCAGGGAGGAACUUAGUAUUAGAAUUGCUUCAUGGGACAACUUCUUAAGCAGUCACUGGGGUCUUUAAAAGAAUACAAAUCAUUACAUUUAAACUUUAUUUAUUUUAUAAAAGGACAAAAAUAAAUUAAAGUUGUUGAGACUUAAAUGUUUCUUUACCACAAAAGAGAUUAUUCCUCUUAGUAUAAGAGAUCACAGAAGAUUGAGUUCACGUGCACACACGCCUACAGUGGUCUAUACUGUACGUCUCGAUGUUAGGAAGUAUCGAUCGUCUCCUUCCAAAUGCUGCUUCCAUUUUCUCUCUUCUUCCUCUUCAUUUUAUUGUUGUAUUAUUAUUGUUGGUUGAAUUGAGUUUCCCCAAAAGACAUGUCCGAGUCCUAAGCCCUGGUACCUGUGAAUGUGACUUCCUUUGGAAAUAGGGCAUUUGCAGAUGUAAUCACGUUAAAAUGAGGUCAUAUUGGAUUGUAAGUAGUGGGCUCUAAUCCAGUGAUUGGUGUCCUUACAACGAGAGGGACAUUUUGACACAGACACACAGAGGAAAGAAAGCUGCGUGGAGACAGAGGCUGAGGCUGGAGUGGGACGUUUACAAGCCUUGGAACGCCAGGGGCUGUGGGGAGCCACCAGAAGCUGGGAAAGGGGCCUGGAACAGAUCCCCCUCGGAGCCCCCAGGAGGAGCAAAUCCUGCCAUCACCUUGAUCUUGGACUUCUAGCGCCCAGGACUGGGAGACAAGACAUUUCUGUUGUGCCCAGUUUGUGGUACUUUGCUACGGCAGCCCUGGGAGACUAAUACAGUCAUUUUAACAUUG
This is a long non-coding RNA of Aethalodelphis obliquidens (Pacific white-sided dolphin), 2191 nucleotides long. RefSeq lists it as uncharacterized. Lineage: Eukaryota; Metazoa; Chordata; Mammalia; Artiodactyla; Delphinidae. The record is from RefSeq and is a predicted model, not a curated record. The transcript has 2 exons.